RNAcentral lists this ribosomal RNA (280 nucleotides) under uncultured Cortinarius. RNAcentral describes it as "partial 28S ribosomal RNA". It matches the Rfam family "Eukaryotic large subunit ribosomal RNA", at positions 1 to 268 of the family's 3401-position model. The record is from RNAcentral. Lineage: Eukaryota; Fungi; Basidiomycota; Agaricomycetes; Agaricales; Cortinariaceae.
GUGACCUCAAAUCAGGUAGGACUACCCGCUGAACUUAAGCAUAUCAAUAAGCGGAGGAAAAGAAACUAACAAGGAUUCCCCUAGUAACUGCGAGUGAAGCGGGGAAAAGCUCAAAUUUAAAAAUCUGGCGGUCUUUUGGCUGUCCGAGUUGUAAUCUAGAGAAGUGUUAUCCGCGCUGGACCGUGUACAAGUCUCCUGGAAUGGAGCAUCAUAGAGGGUGAGAAUCCCGUCUUUGACAUGGAACUGCCAGGGCUUUUGUGAUGCGCUCUCAAAGAGUCGA